This 292-nucleotide ribosomal RNA is filed under the name uncultured bacterium. Its description in RNAcentral is "partial 16S ribosomal RNA". It matches the Rfam family "Bacterial small subunit ribosomal RNA", at positions 505 to 796 of the family's 1533-position model. The record is from RNAcentral.
GUGUCAGCAGCCGCGGUAAAACGUAGGAGCCAAGCGUUAUCCGAAUUUACUGGGCGUAAAGCGCGUGCAGGCGGUUCGAUAAGUUGGAUGUGAAAGCUCCUGGCUCAACUGGGAGAGGUCGUUCAAUACUGUCGGGCUUGAGGGUGGUAGAGGGAGGUGGAAUUCCCGGUGUAGUGGUGAAAUGCGUAGAUAUCGGGAGGAACACCAGUGGCGAAAGCGGCCUCCUGGACCAUUCCUGACGCUCAGACGCGAAAGCUAGGGGAGCAAACGGGAUUAGAAACCCCAGUAGUCC